UACAGAGGGGGCAAGCGUUAUUCGGAAUUAUUGGGCGUAAAGGGCGCGUAGGCGGCUUUGCAAGUGGCGGGUGAAAUCCCUCGGCUUAACCGAGGAACUGCCUGCCAGACUGUGAGGCUUGAGACCGGGAGAGGUGAGUGGAAUUCCCAGUGUAGCGGUGAAAUGCGUAGAUAUCUGGAGGAACACCGGUGGCGAAGGCGGCAUCCUGGACCGACACUGACGCUGAGGAGCGAAAGCCAGGGGAGCAAAGCGGG
Molecule: ribosomal RNA, 254 nt
Filed under: uncultured bacterium
Lineage: Bacteria
Description: partial 16S ribosomal RNA
Rfam family: Bacterial small subunit ribosomal RNA
Source: RNAcentral